UCCCUGGUGGCCUAGUGAUUAAGGGCUCAGUGCUAUCACUGUUGUGGCUCAGGUUUGAUCCCUGGCCUGGGAA
RNAcentral lists this transfer RNA (73 nucleotides) under Sus scrofa (pig). It matches the Rfam family "tRNA". From Rfam's summary of the family: Transfer RNA (tRNA) molecules are approximately 80 nucleotides in length. Their secondary structure includes four short double-helical elements and three loops (D, anti-codon, and T loops). Further hydrogen bonds mediate the characteristic L-shaped molecular structure. tRNAs have two regions of fundamental functional importance: the anti-codon, which is responsible for specific mRNA codon recognition, and the 3' end, to which the tRNAs corresponding amino acid is attached (by aminoacyl-tRNA synthetases). tRNAs cope with the degeneracy of the genetic code in two manners: having more than one tRNA (with a specific anti-codon) for a particular amino acid; and 'wobble' base-pairing, i.e. permitting non-standard base-pairing at the 3rd anti-codon position. Lineage: Eukaryota; Metazoa; Chordata; Mammalia; Artiodactyla; Suidae. The record is from Rfam by way of RNAcentral.